AACGAACGCUGGCGGCGUGCCUAACACAUGCAAGUCGAGCGCGAAAAGGGCAACCUGAGUAGAGCGGCGCACGGGUGCGUAACACGUGGGUAAUCUGCCUCAAAGUUUGGGAUAACCUUCCGAAAGGUUGGCUAAUACCGGAUAAGCUCACGAGGUCUUCGGACUUUGUGGGAAAAGGUGGCCUCUAUUUAUAAGCCAUUACUUUGAGAUGAGCCCGCGGCCCAUCAGCUAGUUGGCGGGGUAACGGCCCACCAAGGCUACGACGGGUAGCUGGUCUGAGAGGACGAUCAGCCACACUGGAACUGAGACACGGUCCAGACUCCUACGGGAGGCAGCAGUGGGGAAUUUUGCACAAUGGGCGAAAGCCUGAUGCAGCAACGCCGCGUGUGUGAUGAAGGUCUUCGGAUCGU
RNAcentral lists this ribosomal RNA (410 nucleotides) under uncultured bacterium. Its description in RNAcentral is "bacterial SSU rRNA". It matches the Rfam family "Bacterial small subunit ribosomal RNA", at positions 29 to 426 of the family's 1533-position model. The record is from RNAcentral.